AUCGCUUCUCGGCCUUUUGGCUAAGAUCAAGUGUAAAAUGCUUAAAUGUCACUUUUAUUUCUUCAGAUGAUGGGAUGAGAUGAGAGCCAUACACAAGCUGUGCAAAUACAAGGCUUGGACUGAGA
Molecule: small nuclear RNA, 125 nt
Organism: Rattus norvegicus (Norway rat)
Lineage: Eukaryota; Metazoa; Chordata; Mammalia; Rodentia; Muridae
Product: U2 spliceosomal RNA
Source: Ensembl